GACGUAGCUGGUCAGGUCACCCUGAUAUAAUCAGGGACAAAUAGGAAAUCACUCUCUUCUCUGCAGACUUGCUGAGAAGUCGACAUGUAGAAUGGCAGAGGAGUAACAGGUCCCUGAAUCUUUCUCUGGAAAGAGAAGACCACGUGGGAAUACUUGGAUUAAUAAUGAUGGUUUCUUUAUAUGUUGGAUCACACUGACUGAUUUUCAUACAUUGAACCAUCCCCACACCUCUAGAAUGAAUCGUACUUGAUCUUGG
RNAcentral lists this long non-coding RNA (256 nucleotides) under Cricetulus griseus (Chinese hamster). RNAcentral's name for it is "lncRNA (ENSCGRG00015033489.1)". The record is from RNAcentral. Lineage: Eukaryota; Metazoa; Chordata; Mammalia; Rodentia; Cricetidae.